GACGAACGCUGGCGGCGUGCUUAACACAUGCAAGUCGAACGGAAAGGCCCUGCUUUUGUGGGGUGCUCGAGUGGCGAACGGGUGAGUAACACGUGAGUAACCUGCCCUUGACUUUGGGAUAACUUCAGGAAACUGGGGCUAAUACCGGAUAGGAGCUCCUGCUGCAUGGUGGGGGUUGGAAAGUUUCGGCGGUUGGGGAUGGACUCGCGGCUUAUCAGCUUGUUGGUGGGGUAGUGGCUUACCAAGGCUUUGACGGGUAGCCGGCCUGAGAGGGUGACCGGCCAAAUUGGGACUGAGAUACGGGCCAGACUCCUACGGGAGGCAGCAGUGGGGAAUAUUGCACAAUGGGCGGAAGCCUGAUGCAGCAACGCCGCGUGCGGGAUGACGGCCUUCGGGUUGUAAACCGCUUUCGCCUGUGACGAAGCGUGAGUGACGGUAAUGGGUAAAGAAGCACCGGCUAACUAUGUG
RNAcentral lists this ribosomal RNA (468 nucleotides) under uncultured bacterium. RNAcentral's name for it is "partial 16S ribosomal RNA". It matches the Rfam family "Bacterial small subunit ribosomal RNA", at positions 28 to 507 of the family's 1533-position model. The record is from RNAcentral.